RNAcentral lists this ribosomal RNA (253 nucleotides) under uncultured bacterium. Its description in RNAcentral is "partial 16S ribosomal RNA". It matches the Rfam family "Bacterial small subunit ribosomal RNA", at positions 524 to 776 of the family's 1533-position model. The record is from RNAcentral.
UACGUAGGGGGCAAGCGUUGUCCGGAUUUAUUGGGCGUAAAGAGCGUGUAGGCGGCCAAACAGGUCCACUGUGAAAACUCGAGGCUCAACCUCGAGACGUCGGUGGAAACCGUCUGGCUAGAGUCCGGAAGAGGAGAGUGGAAUUCCCGGUGUAGCGGUGGAAUGCGCAGAUAUCAGGAAGAACACCAACGGCGAAGGCAGCUCGCUGGGACGGUACUGACGCUGAGACGCGAAAGCGUGGGGAGCGAACAGG